RNAcentral lists this ribosomal RNA (353 nucleotides) under uncultured bacterium. RNAcentral's name for it is "bacterial SSU rRNA". It matches the Rfam family "Bacterial small subunit ribosomal RNA", at positions 8 to 350 of the family's 1533-position model. The record is from RNAcentral.
AGAGUUUGAUCAUGGCUCAGGAUGAACGCUAGCUACAGGCUUAACACAUGCAAGUCGAGGGGAAACGGACAUCGAAAGCUUGCUUUUGUAUGGGCGUCGACCGGCGCACGGGUGAGUAACGCGUAUCCAACCUGCCCAUCACUUGGGGAUAACCUUGCGAAAGUAAGACUAAUACCCAAUGACGUCUCUAGAAGACAUCUGAAAGAGAUUAAAGAUUUAUCGGUGAUGGAUGGGGAUGCGUCUGAUUAGCUUGUUGGCGGGGUAACGGCCACCAAGGCGACGAUCAGUAGGGGUUCUGAGAGGAAGGUCCCCANAUUGGAACUGAGACACGGUCCAAACUCCUACGGGAGGCA